This 668-nucleotide ribosomal RNA is filed under the name uncultured archaeon. Its description in RNAcentral is "bacterial SSU rRNA". It matches the Rfam family "Archaeal small subunit ribosomal RNA", at positions 5 to 638 of the family's 1478-position model. The record is from RNAcentral.
CGGUUGAUCCUGCCGGAGGCUACUGCUAUUGGAAUCCGACUAAGCCAUGCGAGUCGAUCGGGUUUAGACCCGAGGCGGACGGCUCAGUAACACGUGAAGAACCUACCCUCAGGUAGGGGAUAAUCCCGGGAAACUGGGAAUAAUACCCUAUAGGUCUAGAAUGCUGGAAUGCUUCUAGGCUGAAAGCUCCGGCGCCUGAGGAUGGCUCUGCGGCCUAUCAGGUUGUAGUGAGGGUAACGGCCUCACUAGCCUACGACGGGUACGGGCCCUGAGAGGGGGAGCCCGGAGAUGGACUCUGAGACACGAGUCCAGGCCCUACGGGGCGCAGCAGGCGCGAAAACUCCGCAAUGCCCGAAAGGGUGACGGGGGGAUUCCAAGUGCCUACGCUUAGCGUAGGCUGUUCAGGUGCCUAAAAAGCACCUGGAGGAAGGGCUGGGUAAGACGGGUGCCAUCUGUGGCAGCAACAUUUGAGUUGCUACCGCAAGGCAUAAGCCGCCGCGGUAAUACCCGCAGCCCGAGUGGUAGUCGCUUUUAUUGGGCCUAAAGCGUCCGUAGCCGGUCUGGUAAAUGCCUGGGUAAAUCGUGGGGCUUAACCUCACGAAUUCCGGGUAGACUGCCAGACUUGGGACCGGUUGAGGGAGAGGGUACUCCAGGGGUAGGGGUGAAAG